Molecule: long non-coding RNA, 280 nt
Organism: Dama dama (fallow deer)
Lineage: Eukaryota; Metazoa; Chordata; Mammalia; Artiodactyla; Cervidae
Exons: 3
Source: RefSeq, a predicted model, not a curated record
GCAGCGCGCCCAGCGCGAGGAGUCCCAGCGCCGAGGCGCACGCGGCUCGGGGAUCCAUGGCUGCGGCUGGUGGCGAGAGUGCGAGCGCCGAGGGUUACGUUGUUUCUGUGGGCUCGUGGUUGCCAGUUGUCACUUGAAAGAAGGGCAAGAGGGAAGAGAGAGGAGGUGGAAAGGAAAAGAGAAAAUUUCUGCUUGUCUCUGGAAGCUUUCACGAGUCACAGGAAAUAGUCGUCACUAUGAAGGACUUAAGUGCUUUUCUAGAUGUGAAGAAAUACAAGAA